Long non-coding RNA from Mesocricetus auratus (golden hamster), 532 nucleotides. RefSeq lists it as uncharacterized. The record is from RefSeq and is a predicted model, not a curated record. Lineage: Eukaryota; Metazoa; Chordata; Mammalia; Rodentia; Cricetidae. The transcript has 2 exons.
CAUUGGCAUCUGGGAAGGUUGGUCCUGCCCCUCAAUGGACACUGCAGCAAGAGAGAUGGUGUCAACCAUCACUGGAGAGAGAUGUCCCCACCUGUCACCACUGGCAAAGGAAAUGACUUGAUGUCAUGGGCAUAGGGGAGAUGUCUCUAGCCUUCACCUGAGGACACAGACCUAGUGCUAUGAACUGACCAGCUCAGCUACUACCCAGGCCUACAUCCAUGCUUUGGGUUGGCCCACCCUGACAUCUACCCCAUCUAGGACCUGCUGGAACUGGUGAAAGGACUGAUAGUGUGGAAUGAUAAGUGCAGGAUCUCCAUGACUAGCAGCAGCUGGCAGAAGGAUAUGUGAGAGGAGUUUCCGUGAGGAUCCAGUAAUGAUGGUGUAUCAGAAACCAGAGACCUUGAGCCAGACCCACUGUAAUGGACAUUUAUGUAAUCUUGUUAUGAGAAGAAAUCAACAUAUGGUAAGGACCCAUGAUCUGACAACUUUUUUUGUUCUGUACUUGUUAAUAAAGUCCAUUGUAAGCAGCUAA